GGUUCACACGGUUUUAUAACUACGCAUAGAUGGAAUGAGACGAUUGGAGCAUUUAUAGAUGUUGAAGCUUCUGGGACCGGAGGCCUCGAUUUGGUUUGCCAAUCUGGACCUGGGUCCUGGCCUUCAUAUGUUUAUGCUCAAUCAGCACUCUAUCCUAUGGCAAAUAGUGCAGCUCAGGAUAUCUUUGGUAUAAUACCUGGUGAUACAGACUACAGAAUGUUUGCACAAGAUUUUGGCGAUAUUCCUGGCCUAGAUAUCAUCUUCCUCCUUGGGGGUUAUUUUUAUCAUACCGCAUCUGAUACUGUUGAAAGACUAUUACCUGGAAGCAUC
This 330-nucleotide unclassified non-coding RNA is filed under the name Hevea brasiliensis (rubber tree). Lineage: Eukaryota; Viridiplantae; Streptophyta; Magnoliopsida; Malpighiales; Euphorbiaceae. The record is from RNAcentral.